GACGAACGCUGGCUGCGUGCCUAAUACAUGCAAGUUGAGCGCUGAAGGUUGGUACUUGUACCGACUGGAUGAGCAGCGAACGGGUGAGUAACGCGUGGGGAAUCUGCCUUUGAGCGGGGGACAACAUUUGGAAACGAAUGCUAAUACCGCAUAAAAACUUUAAACACAAGUUUUAAGUUUGAAAGAUGCAAUUGCAUCACUCAAAGAUGAUCCCGCGUUGUAUUAGCUAGUUGGUGAGGUAAAGGCUCACCAAGGCGAUGAUACAUAGCCGACCUGAGAGGGUGAUCGGCCACAUUGGGACUGAGACACGGCCCAAACUCCUACGGGAGGCAGCAGUAGGGAAUCUUCGGCAAUGGACGAAAGUCUGACCGAGCAACGCCGCGUGAGUGAAGAAGGUUUUCGGAUCGUAAAACUCUGUUGGUAGAGAAGAACGUUGGUGAGAGUGGAAAGCUCAUCAAGUGACGGUAACUACCCAGAAAGGGACGGCUAACUACGUG
This 497-nucleotide ribosomal RNA is filed under the name uncultured bacterium. RNAcentral's name for it is "partial 16S ribosomal RNA". It matches the Rfam family "Bacterial small subunit ribosomal RNA", at positions 28 to 507 of the family's 1533-position model. The record is from RNAcentral.